GAUGAACGCUGGCGGCGUGCCUAAUACAUGCAAGUCGAGCGAACAGACGAGGAGCUUGCUCCUCUGACGUUAGCGGCGGACGGGUGAGUAACACGUGGAUAACCUACCUAUAAGACUGGGAUAACUUCGGGAAACCGGAGCUAAUACCGGAUAAUAUAUUGAACCGCAUGGUUCAAUAGUGAAAGACGGUUUUGCUGUCACUUAUAGAUGGAUCCGCGCCGCAUUAGCUAGUUGGUAAGGUAACGGCUUACCAAGGCAACGAUGCGUAGCCGACCUGAGAGGGUGAUCGCCCACCCUGGAACUGAGACACGGUCCAUACUCCUACGGGAGGCAGCAGUAUGGAAUCUUCCGCAAUGGUCGAAAGCCUUACGGAGCAACGCCGCGUGAGUUAUGAAGGUCUUCGGAUCGUAAAACUCUGUUAUUAGGGAAGAACAAAUGUGUAAGUAACUAUGCACGUCUUGACGGUACCUAAUCAGAAAGCCACGGCUAACUACGUG
Molecule: ribosomal RNA, 497 nt
Filed under: uncultured bacterium
Lineage: Bacteria
Description: partial 16S ribosomal RNA
Rfam family: Bacterial small subunit ribosomal RNA
Source: RNAcentral